CGCGGCCUAUCAGCUUGUUGGUGGGGUAGUGGCUUACCAAGGCUUUGACGGGUAGCCGGCCUGAGAGGGUGACCGGCCACAUUGGGACUGAGAUACGGCCCAGACUCCUACGGGAGGCAGCAGUGGGGAAUAUUGCACAAUGGGCGGAAGCCUGAUGCAGCAACGCCGCGUGCGGGAUGACGGCCUUCGGGUUGUAAACCGCUUUCGCCUGUGACGAAGCGUGAGCGACGGUAAUGGGUAAAGAAGCACCGGCUAACUACGUGCCAGCAGCCGCGGUGAUACGUAGGGUGCGAGCGUUGUCCGGAUUUAUUGGGCGUAAAGGGCUCGUAGGUGGUUGAUCGCGUCGGAAGUGUAAUCUUGGGGCUUAACCCUGAGCGUGCUUUCGAUACGGGUUGACUUGAGGAAGGUAAGGGAGAAUGGAAUUCCUGGUGGAGCGGUGGAAUGCGCAGAUAUCAGGAGGAACACCAGUGGCGAAGGCGGUUCUCUGGGCCUUUCCUGACGCUGAGGAGCGAAAGCGUGGGGAGCGAACAGGCUUAGAUACCCUGGUAGUCCACGCUGUAAACGGUGGGUACUAGGUGUGGGGUCCAUUCCACGGGUUCCGCGCCGUAGCUAACGCUUUAAGUACCCCGCCUGGGGAGUACGG
Molecule: ribosomal RNA, 643 nt
Filed under: uncultured Actinomycetes bacterium
Lineage: Bacteria; Bacillati; Actinomycetota; Actinomycetes
Description: bacterial SSU rRNA
Rfam family: Bacterial small subunit ribosomal RNA
Source: RNAcentral